Molecule: long non-coding RNA, 645 nt
Organism: Quercus lobata
Lineage: Eukaryota; Viridiplantae; Streptophyta; Magnoliopsida; Fagales; Fagaceae
Exons: 3
Source: RefSeq, a predicted model, not a curated record
UGAUGCAUCUUCUCUAAUACAAUGCAUCACUACAUUAUGAAAGCUGCUGGUUUUUUGUUCACCCCACAAAAGGAAAGAUUUGCCCAGGGAAAUGACCCCAGGUGGUCCAAGGUUCUCCUUAUUAUUAAAAAAAUAGAUAGUUAGAUCAUCCAAAGUAGCAGCUUGAAGUUUAUGUGAUAUAAUAGAAAGCCAAUGGGUUAUUUGGUACUUGUUUUUCAAUUGGGGAACUGAGAUCCACCAAUGCGCUAAUAAGUUCAGCUAGCACUUGGUAAUUCUUGGGGUAUUAAAAUGCCACCAGUAGUUUCUGAAUUAGUGGAGGAUUCUUUUCCAAUGUCAAGUUUACUUUACGGUUCACCCGCUUUGGAAUCUAAUCUAUUUUUAGUCACUUAAGCUGUUUGGCCAUAUUGGAGCCCUUCUAUAGUGGCGGGUUGCUUCUUGUCUCUUUGAGAGCUGACAUUUGGGUCCAAGAAGUGCUACUAUGUACCAGCCAAGCAAGAGGUGCAAUACUAUUCUAUGGAAAGCUAAAUGCAAGUUUCCUGGAGUGGUUGAGGAUUUGUGUGAACUUAUAUCCAAUGCAAAUGUUUUAAAAUACAGUCAUAGCCGCAUUUCUUUAUCAUUCUCUUUGAAAAGAUGGAAGCAGCAAGA